CUCAGGAUGAACGCUAGCGGCAGGCUUAACACAUGCAAGUCGAGGGCAGCAUAAACAUUGCUUGCAAUGUUGAUGGCGACCGGCGCACGGGUGCGUAACGCGUAUGUAACCUACCUCAAACAGGGGCAUAACACUGAGAAAUUGGUACUAAUUCCCCAUAACACUCUGGGAGGCAUCUCCUGGGGUUGAAAGUUCCGGCGGUUUGAGAUGGACAUGCGUUGUAUUAGCUAGUUGGUGAGGUAACGGCUCACCAAGGCGACGAUACAUAGGGGGACUGAGAGGUUAACCCCCCACAUUGGUACUGAGACACGGACCAAACUCCUACGGGAGGCAGCAGUGAGGAAUAUUGGUCAAUGGGCGAGAGCCUGAACCAGCCAAGUAGCGUGAAGGAAGACUGCCCUAUGGGUUGUAAACUUCUUUUGUUCGGGAAUAAAGUGCAGUACGCGUACUGUUUGUAUAUACCGUUCGAAUAAGCAUCGGCUAAUUCCGUG
Molecule: ribosomal RNA, 491 nt
Filed under: uncultured bacterium
Lineage: Bacteria
Description: bacterial SSU rRNA
Rfam family: Bacterial small subunit ribosomal RNA
Source: RNAcentral